UUUUUUUUUUUUUAAAGAUUUUUUACUCAUGAGAGACACAGAGAGACAAAGAGAGAGAGGCAGAGACACAGGCAGAGGGAGAAGCAGGCUCUACACACUGAGCCCAUCUCGGGACUCCAGGAUCAUGCCCUGGGCCAAAGGCAGGCACUAAACCACUGAGCCAUCCAGGCAUCCUCAUUUUUCUAUAUGGUAUAAGAAAGUAAUCCAGUUUCAUCCUUUUACAUGUAAAAGUUGUCCAGUUUUCCCAACACCAUUUGUUGAAGAGACUUUUUUCUCAUUUCAUAGUCUUGCUUCCUUUGGAGAAUAUUAAUUGAUCAUAUAACCAUGGAUUUAUUUCUGGGGUCUCUAUCCUGUCACAUUGAUCUUUCUGGGCGCUCUAGUCCAUUACAUUGAUCUAUGUGUUUGUUUUUGUGGUAGUACCAUACUGUUUUGAUUACUACCGAUUCAUAGUAUAUCUUGAAAUCUGGGAUUGUGAUACCACCAGUUUGUCUAUUUGAAGUAUUUUGUGGCUCCAUACAAGUUUUCAGACUGUUUGUUCCAGAUCGUUGAAAAGUGCUGUUGGUAUUUUGAUAGGAAUUGCAUUAAAUGUGAAAAUUGCUUUGGGUAGAAUGGACAUUUUUACAAUAUUUGUUCUUUCAAUCCUUGAGUAUGGAAUGCCUUUCCAUUUGUUUGUGUCACCUUCAAUUUCUUUCAUCAUGUCUUAUAGUUUUCAGAGUACAGGUCUUUCACUUCCUUGGUUAUGUUUAUUCCUAGGUAUUUUAUCAUUUUUGAUGUAAUUGUAAUGGGAUUGUUUUUGUUAAUCUCUCUGCUACUUUAUCAGUAAUAUAUAGAAAUGUAAUGGAUUUCUGUAUAUCGAUUUUGUAACCUGCAACCUCACUGAAUUCAUUUAUCAGUUCUAGUAGAUUUUGGUGGGGUAUUUAGGGUAUUAUAUAUAUAGUUUCACGUCAUCUGCAAAUAGUGAAAGUUUUACUUCUUCCUUACCAACUUGGAUGCCUUUUACUUCUUCUUGUCUGAUUGCUAUGGCUAGGACCUCCAGUACUAUGAGGACUAGAAGUGGUGAGAGUGGACAUAUUUGUCUUUUUUCUUAUCUUAGUGGAAAAACUCUCAGUUUUUCACCAUGAAGUAUGAUUGAUGUUAGCUCUGGUUGUUUCACAUAAGGCCUUUAUUAUCUUGAGGUAUGUUCCCUCCAAACCUACUUUGUUGAGGUUUUUUCAUUACAAAUGGAUGUUGUACUUUGUCAAAUACUUUUUCUGCAUCCAUUGAAAUAAUCAUAUGGUUUUCUCCUUUCUCUUGUUGAUGCAAUGAUUGAUUUGAACAUUGAACCACCUGUGUAUCCCAGGAAUAAAUCCUACUUGAUCACGGUGAAUAAUUUAAUUUUUAAAUGUGUUGUUGGAUUCAGUUUGCUAAUAUUUUGUUGAGGAUUUCUGCAUCUAAGUAUCUGGCCCCAUAGAACACAUUUGGAAGCUUUCUUUCCUCUUCUAUUUUGUGGAAAAGUUUGAAAAGAAUAGGUAUUAACUCUUCUUUAUAGGUUUGGUGGAAUUCACUUGUGAAACUGUCUGGUCUUGGACUUUUGUUUGUUGGGAUUUUUUUGAUUACUGAUUCAAUUUCUUUGUUGGUAAUAGGUCUGUUCAAAUUUUAUAUUUCUUCUGGAUGCACUUUUGGGAAGUUAUAUGAAUUUUAGGAUUUUUUUUCUAAUUUUGUGAAAAAUGCCAUUGGAAUUUUGAUAGCAAUUAUAUUGAAUCUACAGAUGACCUUGGGUAGUAGGACAUUUUAACAGUAAUAUUUCUCUGACCAUGAACAUGGGGUAUCUUUCAUUUAUUUGUGUCUUCUUCAAUUUCUUCACCAACAUCUUAUAGUUUUUUGUUGUACAGAUCUUUCACCUCCUUGUUUAAAUUUAUUCCUAAAUAUUUUAUUGUUUUUUAAUGCUAUUGUAAUUGGGAUUGUUUUCUUAUUUUCGUUUUCAGAUAAUUUGUUAUCUGUAGCUUUUGUUUCCUGUAGCUUUAUUGAAUUUGCUUAUUAGUUCCAACAUUGUCUUGGUGAAGUCUUUAGGAUUUUCUCUAUAUAAGAUCAUAUCAUCUGCAAACAGACUAUUUAACCUCUUCCUUUCCAGUUUGCAUGCCUUUAUUUCUCUUCCUUGCCAAUUGCUAUAAGACUCCAGUACCAUGUUAAACAGGAGUGGUGAGGGUGGGCAUUCUUGUCUUUUCCUCACCUUAAACUAAAAGUUUAAGGUUCAGCUUUUCACUGUUUAGUUUGUUAGCUGUGGGCUUGUCAUAUAUGACCUCUGUUAUGUUGAGGCACAUUCCUUCUACACCUGAUUUACUGAGUUUGUAUCAUUAAAGGAUAAUUUACUUUUGUCAAGUGCCUUUUCUGUAUCUAUUCAGAUUAUUAUACGGUUUUUAGUCCUCCAUUUUGUUAAUGUGGUGCUUAUUGAUUUGUGUAUAUUGAAUCACCCUUGCAUCCCAAGGAUAAAUCUCACUUGAUUAUGGUGAUGAUCCUUCUAAUGUGCUGUUGAAUAUGGCUUGCUAGUGUCUGUUGAGAGUUUUUGCAUAUACGUUCAUCAAGGAUAUUCACCUGUAAUUUUCUUUUCUUUUAUAUUGACCCCAUCUUGCUUUGGUAUGAGUUUAAUGUCAUUUUAUUAGGCAAAUAAAAUGAGCUUGGAAGUGUUUUCUUAUCAUUUUAAAAUAAGAAUUCCCAGCUCUCUUUGGUUCCAAAUCUAGUGCCCUUAGCAACUGAUUAACACAGUUCUCUCCACUGAUAAUAAAAAAGAAGGUAUCCUUUACUGAGUGUAUAUGAUGUAUUCCAGGCAUUCUGCAAAAUUCUUCAUGUAGAUUAUCUCAAUGAAUUACACAAACAGCUUUGGGAGGUAAGUAUCAUUACUGUCUAAAUUUUGCUAUGUAGGACACUGACGGUCAAAGAGGCUAAUUGGCCAAGGGUAUGCAUCUGGUAAAGGGCUGAGGCAAGAUAUUAGCCCAGGUUAAUCUGACUCCAUACCUCUGUUCUAUUUACACAGUGGAUACAAUAUUGGCUUACAGCUUCUCAAUUUCAAUAGGACUUUUCAGUCCAUGCACCCUCUAUCUUUUCCUUAGCAAUCAUAUAAUGUUUUCUUAUCUUGCUGAGACUUUGGACAAAGUAAAUUGGUCUUAUUAUGAUGAUAGUUCCCUAAGAUUACUGCUCUUUUUUGCCAUUCAAAUGGCGGUAUAUCAUAAACUCAAAUAUUGAUCGGCAGAAUGGUGGUUACUAGGGAAUAAGGAAGGGAUAAUAGAGGAGUUGUUCAGUGUAUAAAGUUACAAUUAUACAAGAUGAGUAAAUUCCAGAGAUUUGCUGUGCAACACAAGGCCUACACUUAACAAUAAGGAAUUAGGUGCUUAAAAUUUGUUAAGAAGGUAUGUCAUGUUGUAUUCUUGCAAAAAAAAAAAAAAAAAAAACCCAAACAAACCCAAACGAAAUCAAAUAAAAAACAGAGGGAUACAAGGAAACUUUUAAAAGUGAUGGAUAUGUUUACUAUCUUGGCUUUAGUGAUGAUAUAACAAAUAUAUACGUAUGUUCAAACUUACCAAAUGACAUACAUGAAUUAUAUGCAGUUUUUUGUAGGCCAAUUGUACCUCAAUAAAGCAGGAAAAAUAUUGGUUGGCUACAUAGUUUAAAAAUUCAACAAAUGUAUUGAAUGUGUAUAUGUACAGGAUCAUAUGCUAGCUGCUAAGGGAAACAAAAAAUGAAUGAGACAAGGAAGCUUCUUUCAAGGUGUUUAUAAGUGAGUCUUACCCCACAAACUAGCUCCCACCCCUGCCAUGGACUAGAACAUAAGGUUGAGGGACAGAGGUCAGAAAAAGGGGUCAUUAAUCUUCUAUGAAAACAUCUUCAAGAGAUACCCCAGGAAUGAGAAGGCAUUUGAUCUGGGCCUUGAAAAACGGGAAAGAUUGGACAUGUAGAGAUACUGAGUGUGAAGGUGCUGUGAACAGGUGACAAUGCGAACACCAACAUGAAGAUUGGAAAUCUUAGAGAGUACUAAGGGAGUCAUGUUUGGCUCAAGAAAGGGCAAGUAGUAAGAGAUGUGGCUAGAACAGCAGUUUCUAAUAAGACCACAGAGUCCAUAAGUUAAUAAGGGGAACUAUUAGAGAUAUAGUUUGGAGGCAUAGAGAGAGUACAUACAGAUAGUCAACAAAUCCUGAUAGCUUAAACUCUGUCAGAGCCAGCUAGGAUGGAAAAUGGAAAUAAAAAUUAAAAGCAUUUAAUGGAUGGCUGGCUUAGAACAUGUGACUCUUGAUUUCGAGGUCAUGAGUUCGAAAUCCAUGUUGGGCAUAGAGAUUACUUAAAAUAAAUACAUAAAUAAAUAAAAAUAUUUUUAAAAACCCAUAUUUAAUGUAUAGAAUGUGUGGCAUUUAGCAAAGACACUUUUGAAGCGAAAGAGGAGGUUAAAGAUGGUUCAAAUUUUGAAUUUGAGUUUGGAAGGUAUACAAGGAAAAUACUGUAGGAGGAAUGGGGGUCAAAGGCAAGAAAUUCUGGGGACAGGUCAUGAAAUAAUAUCCAGGAUCCAUUUUAAUAAUUAAGAGCACAAAAAGAUAUUCUGAGUCCUAAAACUGUGCAUAAAUGUGCAGGACAUAUGGUUUAUACAUGUGGGUCCAAAGUAUUGGAUGCAUAGAUCAUUAAAACACAAAUCGCAUGCAGCAUACCUUCCAUGUAUUUAAACUAACUGACUAGCUAUUAUAGACAUUCACUAAACGGCUGAUUAACACAAUUUGGCUGGCUUUUAGAAUUCAUUUCCUAAUCAUCUCAGCUUCUCUUCUCAACCUACUAUAAUCUGACUUCUGUUCCUGUCACUUAACCGAAAUUGCAGGGCAAAAGGUCAUCAGCGAUUUUCUCAUUGCAAAUACAAAGAGCACUUAAAUAUUAUUUUUACCAAAGUUCUAUUUAGUUAUAAAUGUCAAACAGUUCUAGAAAAUAUACUAAAAAAAAAAAA
This 4957-nucleotide long non-coding RNA is filed under the name Canis lupus familiaris (dog). Its description in RNAcentral is "lncRNA (ENSCAFG00845011423.1)". Lineage: Eukaryota; Metazoa; Chordata; Mammalia; Carnivora; Canidae. The record is from RNAcentral.